UAUAGACUAUUAAUGGGAUUGAAUUAUUAGUUAUAUAUAAAAGUAUAGAGUCUAUUCAAGUCCCACAUUGACUGCAAAGAGAGAUUAUAUGUAACCAAGUAACAAAUAAAAUAGUGCGGCAUAAGUCAUGGAAAAUCAUACCUUUCUCGGCCUUUUAGCUAAGAUCAAGUGUAGUAUCUGUUCUUAUCAGUUUAAUAUCUGAUAUGUGAGUCAUCGACUCACACGAUAUUAACUCUAUUUUUUUAGGGGGAAGGUUCACCACGAUAGCUUGCUAUCGGGACCUUCAAGAGUCGCCUUGGUGUUGCACUACUGCCUUGGCCAGGCUCACCCCACCAAUUUUAGUUCUAAAAGCAUUUUGUUUCAUAAAAGCAUACAAUUUGUCCCUUUCAAUGAACAUUUGAAUUGAAAUCAGAUACUAACUAUAUAAGUAGCUAUAACUCAUAAAAUCUUGAGACUAAUGUUAAAUGGUGACCCCAAAAAGUAUGAUAAUUCGAUUCUCAUGUUGUAAUCUCUAACGACAUUUUAAUUCGAUUCCUAUGUUUGUAAUCUCUAACGAUAUUGAAAAUAAUAAUGGAAAAAGGAGUGGCUCAGAUGUGCUAUUUUUGUCAUCUAAUAUCAGUCAGACAUGGUGAACACCCAAAGUUUUCACAUUUGCACAAUUAUCUUCAUGGCACUCCCACCCACUAGACCACUGUGCUUAGAGAUAUUAUAAUACUUCUUUCGUUUUUAUUUAUAUUUCAUCACUUUACGUGAAAAAAUUUACUAUUCUAUCCCUAUUCACCCCAUAUUAGUUUUCUAUGUUGGUCAAAGAAAUAUUUUCAAGACUAAUAACUCAUAAGGGUAUAAGGAUGACAUAUAAAAAGGAACAAAGGAAGUAUGUUUUAUCUUCUUGUACGUAGCUACAAGGCAGCACUCCUAAAAUGUUUUAUAUCAAUAAAUUGAAAAUGUAUGAUCAAGUGUAGUAUGUGUUCUUAUCAGUAUAAUAUCUUAUAUUAAACUUCAGUUCAACUUUCAAAGAAAAUAUUUAUAGUACCUAAAUUAGUGCUAGACUUAUCACAAAAAUCUAAUAUAAGAAGAUGAUGUAUGUAUAUGUAGUCAAAUAUGUAUUGUAUGGAUAAAUACGUCCACGAUUAAAAUAUUGCACGCUAUUUAAUUGUAACCAUCACUUAAUUACAAUAAAAGUAUAUUAAUGAUAAUAAACAAACUCAAUAUAUCUAAUCAAUUCUUCAAAGUAUAUUUAUUUAUUUCUUCUUCUUUUGUUGCUUUUUUUUUUCUUUGAAAAUUGUAUAUUUAUGUUAUUUAUUUAUGAAAAAGUAUAUGAAAUAUUUUUAAAAAUUAUACAAACUAAAUGCUUUUAUAUAUAAAAAGUUAUAAUUUUAAAAAUUAUAUAUUUCAUGUCGGGUUGAUUUGAUCUCGAAUUCACAUUUUUUUAGGUCAAACCAAACCAAUCAAGUUAGGUUGUGGAAUGGACCGAAAGCCACAAUUAACUUUGAAAACUAGAGAGAUCCCUUUUUUUUAAGUUUAAAUCUGGACUCAUGGUUUAUUUAAUAAAAGAUGGGCUUCUAAACGGAUCCACGCAUAAAUAUAUCAAAAAAGAGUUGGUCGCCCAUAAGUGGUCAGACCAGGUGAAUAUAAAAGAACCCUAAAUGAUAGGGUUUUCUGACUUGUGCUCUCCGCCUCUUCUUCUCAUUGUUUUCAUCGCCUUUGCGGAGAUGUUUCUCUUGUGCUCCACAACUGCAGCUUCUUCCCCAUUCGGUUAUGCGGCAUUAACAUUUUCCACCUUAAUGUUGUUGCAGUGGAGAUCAACUUUCAAAGGCAUCUUCAUUGUUUCGUUUCUCAAAAGACUUCUUUUUGUUUGAAGGUGUACUACAAAUUAUUAUGUAUUGAGAAAAAUGGUGGAGACGGAAUAAAAUUGAUGUUGAGAUUUUAUAUGCAAAAUCCAACUAAUUCAAGAUUGAGGUAUUAUUACAAUUGUUAAAUUCCUAUUUAUGUAUUAUUACUAUACUGCAUAUUUUUAGAAAGGAAAAAGAAUAAUGUUUUCCAUGUCAGAAGAAACCCUAAAAAAGUAUUCAAUUUUUCAACUAAAAUUCACACGCACGCAUAUGCACACGCACACACGUGCACAUACACAAAAAAUAAGAUAAUGACAUUAUUAAAUACAUAAUGCCUCUUCUAUUUAAAAUACAUAAUGCCUCUUCUAUUUAAAUAAUAUUAAGUGUAUUAUUUAUAUUUUGCAUGAUCUCACGAAGUGAGGAUGCGUUCACUUGUGCAAAAUUAAAGAACAAAUAUUAUUAUCAUUCUUAGUGUUGAACAAACUUUUUUUAGCAGUAGUAUCAAUUUGAUAUUAAUUUGAGUUUUGUUAGAGUUACUAAUAUCUGUAGAUGAUAACUUUUAUUGGACCAUUCAAAAUUCAAGUCUCAGAAGUUAGAAAUACUAUAAUAAAAGAUUAAAACAAUGAAAAAGUAUAUGAAAUAAAUUUAAAAAUAAUACAACGUAAAUACAUAUUUAAAAAAUUAUAACUUAAAAAAUUAUAUAUAUAAUGUCGGGUUGAUUUGAUCUCGAAUUGACAUUUUUUUUAGGUAAAAUCAAACCAAUCAAGCAUAGUUGUGGAAUGGAUCGAAAACCACAAUUGACAUUGAAAACUACCGAUAUCCCGUUUGUAAGUUUAAAUCUGGACUCACAGUCCAUUUUAUUUAAUAAAAAUUAGCUCCUAAACGGAUCCACACAUAAAUAUACCAAAAAAGAGUUGGUCGGCUUAUAAGUGGUUAGACCAGGUGAAUAUAAAAGAACAUUAAAUGAUAGGAUUUUCUGAUUUGUGCUCUCUGCCUCUUCUUCUCAUUGUUUACGUUGCUUCUACGAAAAUGUUCUCUUUUGUGCACCACAACGGUAGCUUCUUCCCCCUUUGGUUAUGGGGGAUUAAUAUUCCCCACCUUGAUGUUGUUGCUAUUGUUGCUGCUAUGGAGAGCAACUUUCAAAAGUUCAUUUUUUUAGCCAUCUGGCAUCUUCAUUGAUUUGUUUCUCAACUGACUCUUAUUUUUGUUUGAAGGUGUACUACAAAUUAUUAAGUAUUGCGAAAAAUGGUAGAGAUAAAAUAAAAUUGAUGUUGAGAUUUUAUAAAGUAAAUCCAACUAAUUCAAGAUUGAGGUAUUAUUACAGUUGUUAAAUUUCUAUUUCUGUAGUAUUACUACAAGUCCUAGACACGUGCUUUGCACGUGAGUCCCACAAAAAUAUUAUAUAUGGUAGGAGUUAUAUUAAAAUUACAGUAGACAAAAAUGAAAUUUUAACAAAAACUAUUUAAAUCACAUUUUGAAGAAUUUUAAAAAUGAUUUAACGAAAAAAUAUAAAUGAAAUAAAUGAAAAAUCAGCCUGUACAAAUGGCUUCUUUAUUGUAAAAUGUAAAUGCAAAAUAAUUAGAUAUUCUGAUAACCUGUCAAAUUUGAACAACAAAAUUUAAUGUGAUAAAAUAAUUUAUCUUUUUAUGUUUUUAGAUCUACAAUAUAUUAGUUUGUUACUUUUCUAAGAAAGAGACAACACAUACAUAACACACAUUCUUAAUUUGUAUCAAAGUUUGAUUACCACAUGUACUUGUAACAAGUAUAAAUGUCGUCUCCAUAUUACAUUCAAAUAACAUAGUGUGUUUAUUAUCCUUUGUAGCAUUAACCAAAAAUUCCAAUAGUUUGUUCAUGACUAUUUUACAUACUUCUUAUCAUAUUUUUUAAUAUAUAAAACCAAAGAAGAUACAUACUAGUUUAAUAAAUAGAAGCUCUUUUGGUCCCACACUGCUUAGAAAGAGAGAUUUUAUGUAACCAAGUAACAAAUAAAAUAGCCCGGCACAACAUAUGGAAAAGCAUACCUUUCUCGGCCUUUUGGCUAAGAUCAAGUGUAGUAUCUGUUCUUAUCAGUUUAAUAUCUGAUAUGUGAGUCAUCGACUCACACGAUAUUAACUCUAUUUUUUUAGGGGAAAGGUUCACCAUGGUAGCUUGCUAUCGGGACCUUCAAGAGUCGCCUUGGUGUUGCACUACUGCCUUGGCCUGGCUCACCCCACCAAUUCUAGUUCUAAAAAUCCUUUUGGUUCACAAUAGCACACAAUUUGUACCUUCUAAUAUUGGGCAGUUUGAUCCAUUAAAGCUCAUAUCCGAUGCAUUAAAAUAAAAUCAGAUACUAAACUACAUUUUAGCAUAACUCAUAAAAUCUUGUAAAUGGUGACCAAAAGUAUAAUAAUUCGAUUUUCAUGUAAUCUCUAACGACAUUAUUGCC
RNAcentral lists this long non-coding RNA (4257 nucleotides) under Solanum lycopersicum (tomato). Its description in RNAcentral is "long non-coding RNA (SLYC_LNC000373)". The stretch from base 3850 to 4045 matches the Rfam family "U2 spliceosomal RNA". Lineage: Eukaryota; Viridiplantae; Streptophyta; Magnoliopsida; Solanales; Solanaceae. The record is from RNAcentral.